This 253-nucleotide ribosomal RNA is filed under the name uncultured bacterium. RNAcentral describes it as "partial 16S ribosomal RNA". It matches the Rfam family "Bacterial small subunit ribosomal RNA", at positions 524 to 776 of the family's 1533-position model. The record is from RNAcentral.
UACGUAGGGACCGAGCGUUGUCCGGAUUCAUUGGGCGUAAAGAGCUCGUAGGCGGCCACUCAAGUCGAAUGUGAAACCUCGAGGCUUAACCUCGAGCCUGCAUUCGAUACUGGGCGGCUAGAGUCUGGUAGGGGGAUCUGGAAUUCCUGGUGUAGCGGUGGAAUGCGCAGAUAUCGGGAGGAACACCGGUGGCGAAGGCGGCGACCUGGGACAAUACUGACACUGAGGUGCGAAAGCGUGGGGAGCAAACAGG